Molecule: ribosomal RNA, 285 nt
Filed under: uncultured eukaryote
Lineage: Eukaryota
Description: partial small subunit ribosomal RNA
Source: RNAcentral
UUGGGGUCUCCCGCUCCACCUCCAUCUCCCACGCCAACGUAGAGCAUCCCGUCGGGCCCGAAUUCGAGUUGUCCUCCGUUGUGGUUCGAGAACGGCUGCUCGAUCUCAAGGUAGAACUUCCCACUGGAAGGGUCCGCCCGAUCACUCCGGUCCACAUCGCGGUACUCCUCGAGGACUGUAUUCCCAGCGGUGUUCGUGUAGUACACCCAGAACCGCCCAGUCGCCCGGUAAUCUGGAUCGAACGCGAGUCCCAGGAGGCCCCGCUCGCCGCCAAAGCGAACCCGG